CCUGCUGCGGAUAGCUGUGAUGAAAGAGGGAAGUCGGUGAAAUCCAAACCCGAAUUGCAACCUGAACCGGAAUUGCCAUCGGAACUGAAGUCGGAACCGGAAUUGCCACCGGAACUGAAGUCGCAACCGAAACAGAGAGAGAAAUAUGAAUGGGAAUCGAAACGCGUUGAAGAUCUUGAGAUGAGUGACUUCUCUAUGUUUGACGAUGACAUUGAGCCUUUUAUGUUUAUAUGCGCGCGCUUUAUUUACAAGAAUAAGGCCCAGAUUCAAAAAGAUAAGGAGAUUGAAGUAGCCAUGGCUGAGUAUCGUGAGUGCUCUCGCAACCUAAGUGUAAGUAACUCAUCUAUCUAUUUCAAUUUCAUUGUCUUGUGUUUCACUCUCUUAAUUUUAAUUUUAAUAAUUCAUUCUGGACAACACAACACAACACAGGUGUUCGAUGCUAUCCCCGUUCCAAAAAUCUCAGGAAAAUGUGGGGGUGUCGGUCCCCUUCCUAUGACCGAUGAUCGUCGCCUUUUUCUCACUCCCGCCUGCCACCUUGCCUUAGACAAUUACAAUGCUGAGAAUCAGGCAGGUUUCAAUACUUAUGUUGAUUAUAAUAUGUUUAUGUUUAUUCAUUCAUUCAUUGAUCAUCUAAUAUACUAUUAUUAUUUUUUAGGGUCCAAAUUUCGUUUUUGUUGACGUUGUCAAGACAACCUAUAGACCCGGUGGUUUCUAUUACAUUACCUUUCAAGCACAAGAAGAAAUUCCCAACAGCCCUGUUAUAGCUUUUCAGGCCGAAGUCAGGAUUUGGAGGACUGACCCACCUAUCAUCAUCAAGUCGUGUGCCAUUAAAACUACUUAACACACUCACCAUGGUAAUAUAAUUGCUGAUACCAGAGUUUAUAGUUGCUAACCUUCACCCAGUUUCUGUUUUUGUUUUUCUUUCAUCAAAUUCAAAUUUACUUUUAACUUCAUCAUGUUUCUAGGCUACCAUAAAUCGUUGCUAAAUAAAUCAUCCGAGAAACAGUUCCAUUACUGUUUAUCUCAUUUUGCCCAAAAGAUAUGGGAAAAAAAGGAUUUAGAGGGAUUCAAUCCCUAUUAUGCUGCAAAAACGAUGCUUAACCACUGUUCCAUCAUUUUUCUAAUAACACAUGUAAUCUAUGUAUAUUAAUGCGAUCUUAUGCUGAUUACAACAUUAAGUUGUGUGCCAUUAAAACCUAAUAACACCAUGGUAACAAUAUUAUCCAUUCCUUACAUCAUGUUUAAUCUUUUCUUGGUUAAUAUACUAUUAUAGUUCCUUUGAAAUUGUAUUUGAUUUUGAUAUUGAUAAUAAGCGUCAAUCAUUUUAUUUCUUCAUGAAAUUCACAAUUAUGAAAACUUCAAGUUUAUAACUUAUAUUUUCAAGACAGAGAAUACAACUUUUUUAACUGACAUGAUAAAUGGUGAUAUAAAUGCUUAGGUUUCUGCUGGUCUAUCUGCAUCCCAUGUAAAUUUCUUUUGUAGUUUGCUCAUGUAUUGAAUGAAUUGAAUUGAUUGUAUCCUGUUUUAUCUAUCUCCGAGAGUAGGUAUCAAAUUCCACUUGCUUUUGAAGUGUACGAAACACAAGUAUAAACAGUUAAUUCAGCCUAGUAGAAUUUUUUAUUAACGAUUAAAGAAUGCAUAGGAAAUAUUGAGAAUUGAGUAGAUAUUAUUGUUUAUUGAAUUAGAAAUUUUAACAUUGAAAUAUUGAGAUUUAGCAUGUGGAAUUUGUAUCAUCAAUUAUUUGUGUAUUCUGCUUCCUUGUGUGAACUAAAGGCACCUACUCUAAUCCAUCAUUCAAACGUUACCAUCAAUUAUUAUUGGCGUUUUAAAUUCAUGUACGGCAAUACUUGAUUCUGCAAAACUGAAACAGAGCAUUAGAUCUUAUGCUGAUUUCUGCAAUGCAAGUCAUGCUUGUAGGGACAUGUAACUUUUCAUUUUACCUUCAUGAAGCUCACUGAUAUAUCCCUAUGGUUUACCCCCUAACCCUAAUUUUUUUAUUCAAUUUUACAGGAAAUUAUGUCCAAUGCAUCCACCUGCUGUGAAUUUACCUUCCAUGAAUCUGAUUUUGGUUAUGUACAAACCCAAGCUAGCCCGGACAAACUUCUGGGUGUAGUGAAUUAAACGUGGUGUUUAUGUAGAUAGUAUAUUUGCUAGAAAAUUUGGGAUUUUAACGUCGCAUGUCAUGUUAUUUCACACCAACGAAUGUCACUAACACUAAUGUUUGUCAUUUAUCUUUAUAAUCGGAUGACAUUUCCCAACGCUUGAUAUGAAUAUAUGCAAGUCUUGAAUCCAAUAGUUUCAUUUGUUUCUUAAUUUGAGCUACACCGUACAUUAAAUUGCUUCGGACAAGAGAUAUCAUUUCUCAUUUUUGGAAUACUGAACAUUUGAGGCAAUUUGUCUUAUUACACACUAGUGAGAAAUGGAUAUUAAGCGAGGAAGAGGUCUUACUGUUAGCCAUUACAUUAAAAUGAAGUGCUUAGAAUAAAACAUCAUUUAUAAUUGAUAAUACUAUAGUUGUUAAGCUUCAGCCAGUUUUUCUUUUAACACCACUUUUUGUUGUGCUUUAUUUGGAAGCUGCUUUAUGUUUUUUCCUAUUGACUUCAUAAGUCAGCCUUUUUUCGCCUCACAGUAAAAAAUGCUGACCAUUUUCUUUAAAAUAGAUUGAAUUCAAGUUAGGCAUUAACACAUAUAAGUUUAAUAAAUAACCUUGAGUCGCAAUUUGUAUAUAAUAGUGUUCUUUUUUUAAACAAUGGUGUUUUUUAAAUAAGGGUAAAACUUGAAUGAAAAAGUUACAACUUAUUUCAUGGAAUUAGAAUUUGUUAAUUUACAUCAUGACAUAUCCAAACAAUAACAGAAUGGACAUCUUUCUAUUCUUCUUUAUAUCACUCCAUUCACUUUUCUUCCUGCUCCCCUCCAUUCAUUUUAAAAUAUCCAAACAUAACCCAAGUUGCAACUCCAACGCCCACAAUGUAAAAGUCCCAUUUUACACUCAACAACUUGUAUGUAGGCAUGUCAAUGGGAUGGGGUGGAGAAAGGUUUCACCUUCUACGUCCUCAUAUCCCCGACUCACAUAUACUUACACGUGUUACCUUAUCUAUAUCCAACGGACAUGAGUUAUAUUUCCGUCUCCAACGAGUUUGGGUAUCCUCGUCCCAUUCUCAUCUCCACAUUGAAUAUUUUUUUAAUAAAAGAAGUUUUUCCCAACUCCAAAUGCAAUGAUGUAAUGCAUUAUCUAUCAAUAUGACCACUUUAACAAUUUCUUUGACGGGAUAAUUUUGCUGCUCCUUUAAAUUUCAAUGACUUUUUUUAUAACAUGGCAAGUCUCAAUUGGUAAUAAAGCAAUUUUCUACAUUCGGGGUCGGUUUGUGUUUGAGUUUAGGGUGGUGCUUUAAAAUUGGAAAAAACUCCAACAGAUGCCUAAAUCCAAUUAAAACGGGAAAAAUCCAUUAAAUCAGUGUGGAUUUGGCCAGGUAGCUGCGGUUACUGGUUUCACUGCCAAGUCUACUUGUAUGUUAUAUGAGGAACAUCACAGAUAGAUUGUUCUAACUUUUUCAAUGAUUACGAAGGCAUUACCCUUAACCUCGUGGCAGGGACACUUUCUGGUUUAUAUUAAACAGCCACUUUAAUUAAGCAAAGCAUUGAUCGCUCUCUGAUUAGUUCUUAAAUCUUUAAUUCAAAAGGCAAUGAUCAACAAGAUAUAAACAAAAUUACGUUUGUAUCAUAAGGACCCAAUGCAUUAGAGUUGAUUCCAGAACAUAAAACAUUAUGGGGUAGUAUAAGUAAACGCGACGCUUAAUUGAUUCUUACAAAUGUUUUCUUACACAAAAAAAAUAAAAGAAUAGUUUUCAGAUAUAAUUUUAUCAUAGUGUAACACUUGUUUAAUCAUCAAGGUAUCAACACUUGUUUGAAAAUUCAAAAAUAUUAUCAUCUGUUCGUUAAAAUACAAUAUUACUAUUUUUUUUUCUUUCGUUUUUCACUAAACAAUCACAAAAGUAAAGGAUGGGUUAAGUUUUUUUGGUAAUAAACACAAGAAAAAUUCUGGAUUAAAAGGGAACACAAGAACACUAAAACUUUCUCGGAAGUUAUCGGAAACUAAACACCAAUUUGAGAUUUAGAAAAAUUGAAGGAAAAUUCGCGGAAAGGAAUUGAAAGAGUUGGAGGGAAAUUUACAACUUAUUUUAUGGAAUUAGAAUUUGUACAUUUACAUCAUGACAUAUCCAAACAAUAAUAGAAUGGACAUCUUUCUAUUCUUCUUUAUAUCACUCCAUUCACUUUUCUUCCUCUUUGCUCCCCUCCAUUCAUUUUAAAAUAUCCAAACAUAACCCAAAUUACAACUCCAUUCACUUUUCUAUAUCGAAGUACAAAAAAGUAAUUCGGUCCGAGUUUUUUUAGCAAAUCUAGCAAACCCUAAUAGUAGAAAAUGAUGAAUCAAGUAUGCAAAUAACCUCAUGUACAUGUAAGCCACAUCAUAUCAUAAAAUUAAAAGCGUUUUGAAAUCCCGAGGGUUAGCUGAAAGAAUCACUUUUACAAACUUAAAUCAAAAUAUAGCCUAAUAGUAAAAUAAAACAUUCAAGCUUUAGUACCUUGUGCAUAUUUAAGUCUUAAAUAAAAUACUAGUAGUACCUUAUAAAACAUUCAAGCUAAGUACCACACACUUUAUCAAUUUUCCUUAUAAAAUAACCUAGUAGUUAAUUAAGAUAAAAGUCCACUCCAUUCAACGGUUAUGGAAAUGACAACCUUGAUGAAUCUUUCCUUUAUCAACUUCGCAGCAAACUUCUCUUCCCCUAAUAUGUUUCUCUUAGCCUGCAUCAUGAGAGGAAAACACAACUAUAAUUUUAUACUUGAAUAUACACCUCAUGCACCAAAUAGAAAUAAUAAUGUGAUUUUUUUUUGUAGUAGUAGUAAGGAACCACUUUCCGUACUAUGCACCAAAUAGAAAUAAAUAAUAAUAAUACUAUAUACUUAAUGGAUGGAAUGUGAAGACCGAGGAAAUCAUGUAUCUCACUCACCCUCAAGUAAAAUUAUAUAUAAAGCUAAUGGGAAAGAAGAUGAAAUAUAAGUAAAUAAGCUAAUGGAAGAGUUUGUUAAAGAGGGAACUUGUAGGCAUAACUUACAUGGACUAUUCACGAACAAGGAGAAGGACUCCAUCGACUGUUGGGAUCAUCAACUACAAAGUAAUUGGAAACAACAUUAUUGAUAAACAACCAAAUAUAUUGAAAUAGAGCAAGUGUGGUAAAGUUGUUCUUUAUGUAGCUUUUGAUUGUAUGUCACAUGAGGAACAUGACAUACGCAGCUUCUUUUCAUUGUUCUAACUUUUUCAAUUGAUUACGAAGACUCUACCCUUAAGUUAACCUUGUGUCAGGGUCACUCUCAGGUUUAUAUUAUUAAACAGUCAUCAUAACCUUUAAUUAAAUUUUUCUCAUUUUCUCUCAACAUAUGAUGAUCCCUCCUAAUAAAAAUACUAUCAAAUUUUUAACCUUUAAUUAUAUUUUAUUUUCCUUUCAUUCAUUUCUAUAAAACAAGAAUUAGAAACAGGAUGUGCACAUACCAGUUGAAGUGCUUGGAAUGUCUUCCUGAUGAUGCUCUACUUCUUCUUCUUCUUCUUCUUCUUCUUCCUGCAGUUGGCAAAUCCAGUGGAGAAAACAAAAAGCAAAAGGUUAUUAUUGAGUUUAGAUGAUUAAAAUAUAGAGAACAGAGUAUGAAAUAGAACACAACACACACACCUUCAGCUCUGAAGUUGUUGGACAAAAGCGCUUCCUUAAGAGUUUCUUAUGCUCCUGUUGAAUGAUAAUAAUAAAUUAACAUCAGACGGAUUGGCUAAAUUAAUUAAACAGAAUGUUGUGUUGUUUUGUAGGGAUCAUUUACUUAAUUAAUUAAUUAACCCUAAUAUAAUAAAAUAAAAACAAGGAAGGAGACAUAUACUACCUCAGCUCCCAAAUUCUCAAUUUCUUCGUCACCAUCCUCCUCAUCAUCGUCAUCGUCAUCACCAUUCUCCUCCUCCUCCUCGCCGACAUCCUCCUCAUCAUCGUCACCAUUCUCCUCCUCCUCCUCGUCAUCAUCAUCAUCAUGGCCUUGUGGUCCAUGGUGGUGCAAAGAUUCAAUUGCCGCACAAGUGGCAAAUGCAUAACAAUAAUUUACAUAAAUUAAUAUAUUCUAUUAAAUAAUAAUAAUAAUAAUCCUCUCAAAAUAAUAAUAAUAAUAAUAGUAAUAAUAAUAAUAUACUAUAUAUAAAUAGUGUAACUCAAAAGCGCUUAGAUAAAAUGCCACAAGUCUUUUCUAACUUAACCAAGGUCGUAAGGAAUUUAAAAACCAACUACAUUUUUUAAUUGAAUUUUUUUGUUUUUUUUUUCAAAUUCAAAUUUAAAAAGAUCCAAAUUGAAUAUUGAAAUUGAAAUGUUAAAGAUAUUAAACAAAAUAAUUAUAUUAAGAGUUUAAUAGUGGUGGAUUGACGGUACAAAAUAAUUUUGCACACACAACCAAUCAAAACUUUCUGAAUCGCCACAUCAAUUAAUGUUUUUAAUUUAAGUAGGCCAAACUUGAUAAUUCAAAACUUGAUAAUCACACACUCACACUUCACAAAGCAACGAGCCUUGAAUGAGAUAUGGAAGGCUCAUUUUUACAGGAAUCAAAGUAAUAACAGUUUUAUUAGCAUCUUAAAUCCAUAUUGGCUCAGCAAUACAACGAGACACAUUUGUAAAAAAACAUACGUGAGCUUGAUAUUAUGCCACUGAUUCUUGAAGAAUGGAAGAUGUAAACUGAGGUUUUUCAUACCGAAUAAAACACUACGAAUCGCUUCCAUCGAAGGGAAACCAACUUUCCGAGCAUAUCUGAAAUUGCACCUUGAAUACAUGGAAACCUGACCUAAAUACUAGUAGUGUGCAUUUGCAUCUAUACUAUAGCAUGUAAAGAGAAUAGUAAGAGCUGGUUUCUUACUGCAUUCAUCAAUUCCAUAUGCGUUCAUUUAAUUUAUACGUAUAAGUGUUGUUUGUUUCAUUAUUAACUUUUUAUGUUUUGAAAACUCUAUUUCCAUGUUGAUUACUGUGGGGAAUAUUUGUUUAGAAGACGCAGAUGAAAGAAGCUCCAUGAGGAAAAACUGAAUAAGACUUGGAAUUUGUAGGAACUAUUUUAAAGUUGAAUUUUGCUAGGAAGCUUGUUUUGUUUAGUUGUUUUAGUGCUAUAGAAUUUUAAUCGAUUUAAUCUCCUUUUGUAAAGUGGUAUACUUGGUACUCUUAAGUGCAGUCAAUCUUCUUAGUAACCUCCUUCAAAAAAAUAAAAAAUAAAUCUUCUUAGUAAGCAUUUAGUAUGAGAUGUCACAAAUUUUCACGCAUACAUUUUGCAAAAAUUGUCUCUGGCUCUCUGCAAUACAAAACAUUGCAGACUUCACAUGAUUUUGACGCAUGUUAUCAUUUUGAUAUUCACAUGAGAGGGGAACUCUGGUUAAUGAGUGGAAUAGAUCAAGUGCUCAUUUCAGAGGAAUACUCUCAAGUGUGAGGGGAGAUAUCUCUAUGGGCACUUCCGAGAGAUUUUACGAUCAUUGUCCUUUGGUGUUAAAGGUGGGAGAGUGGGAUUGGGGGCCUAAACCGUUUCGAUUUAACAAUUUUUUGUUAGAAAAUAUGAAGUUUAAGGGAGUAGUGGAGGAGGCAUGGAGGAGUCAAAAUGUGAGUGGUUGAAUAAGUUUGUGUUGAAAGAAGAGCUCAAAGGUCUUAAAUCUAAGAUCAAAAAGUGGAAUACGUAGGAGUAUGGAGGAAAGGGUUUGAGUGAUAGUGAGCUUUGUUUGCGGAAAGACAAAUUUUUUGAAUUACGGAGAUUACUUAAGCAAAAGACUUGUCGAUUGUGCAAAGGUUUUCAUUAUCGGAUUAAAUUAUAGUGACUCUUCAUUAUCUAAUAUGAAUAAAUGCUAACUACUUAAGCUCUCUAUCAGAUUAAAUGAUCAACCUUUGGUAUGAUGAUUGAUUGAUACUUUCUACCAUAUGUUAAAGGUUAUGUUGUACCAAUAUGUUUAUCUAAUGCUUCGCUUACGUCAACAUAAUGAAACCAAUCAAAUGAUGUUUAAUGCUUGACACCAAAGUAUUCGAAUGUUCUUAUGGUGUGAUUCAUAGAUGAUGUUCAAUUGAAAAAUUCUGAUAUACAAUUUUGGAUCCAUUAUUCAAAAGUGUAACUACUUUCUUUGUCGUGUUUAAACUCUCAUGUAUAGUUCACUAUGUGACUAGUUAACAUGAUUGAUCAUAGCAUGUGUUUGGAAACACAUUUGUCAAUCCCAUACCGCAUCCUAAUGCACUUUCGUCGAGAAAAUUCCAAAGGACGGUGGAGUACUGGGGAGGAAAUUUUUGCGGAGGAACUUUUAGUAAUGUUCUUAACACAUCUAUAAAAAAUUGUUAAAAAACAUUAAGAGUUUAAGCAUAAAUUAAACAAAUUUAAAUUGAAGAGAGACUAAUUCUGAGUGCAUGAUAUUUUUGUAAGCACUAAAACAACUAUUAAAAUUAAAUAAGGAUUAAACUUAAAAUGCCUCAAUUUUAUAGGGACUAAAAACAUAUUUAACACAAUAAAACAAAGUCACAUGUGACAUCCACGUGUGCGUCACCGUUUACUCAGUAACAAUUAACAGACCUAUUUUGCUAAAUAAAAUUUAAGUAGGAACCGGUGAAAACGCGCCUAACCCAUAAAAUAAAUAAAGAGGAAAGGUGUUUUGGUUUAGGUUAGAUAUUUGUGAAUUGUGGUUCCUUCCUUCCUUCCGUUUUGCAGAAUGUCGACAAAUUUCGAUACCCCCUUGUUCGGUGUCAGCCGACCUGCUCCAGAAAGCUGCGAUGAAAGAGGGAAGUGGGUGAAAUGUGAACCAAAACCAAAACCGAAAUCGAAAAAAUAUGAAUGGGAAUCGAAACGCGUCGAAGAUCUUGAUAUGAGUGACUUCUCUAUGUUUGACGAUGACAUUGAGCCUUUUAUGUUUAUAUGCGCGCGCUUUAUUUACAAGAAUAAGGCCCAGAUUCAAAAAGAUAAGGAGAUUGAAGUAGCCAUGGCUGAGUAUCGUGAGUGCUCUCGCAACCUAAGUGUAAGUAACUCAUCUAUCUAUUUCAAUUUCAUUGUCUUGUGUUUCACUCUCUUAAUUUUAAUUUUAAUAAUUCAUUCUGGACAACACAACACAACACAGGUGUUCGAUGCUAUCCCCGUUCCAAAAAUCUCAGGAAAAUGUGGGGGUGUCGGUCCCCUUCCUAUGACCGAUGAUCGUCGCCUUUUUCUCACUCCCGCCUGCCACCUUGCCUUAGACAAUUACAAUGCUGAGAAUCAGGCAGGUUUCAAUACUUAUGUUGAUUAUAAUAUGUUUAUGUUUAUUCAUUCAUUCAUUGAUCAUCUAAUAUACUAUUAUUAUUUUUUAGGGUCCAAAUUUCGUUUUUGUUGACGUUGUCAAGACAACCUAUAGACCCGGUGGUUUCUAUUACAUUACCUUUCAAGCACAAGAAGAAAUUCCCAACAGCCCUGUUAUAGCUUUUCAGGCCGAAGUCAGGAUUUGGAGGACUGACCCACCUAUCAUCAUCAAGUCGUGUGCCAUUAAAACUACUUAACACACUCACCAUGGUAAUAUAAUUGCUGAUACCAGAGUUUAUAGUUGCUAACCUUCACCCAGUUUCUGUUUUUGUUUUUCUUUCAUCAAAUUCAAAUUUACUUUUAACUUCAUCAUGUUUCUAGGCUACCAUAAAUCGUUGCUAAAAAAAUUAUUUAGAGGGAUUCAAUCCCUAUUAUGCUGCAAAAACGAUGCUUAACCACUGUUCCAUCAUUUUUCUAAUAACACAUGUAAUCUAUGUAUAUUAAUGUGAUCUUAUGCUGAUUACAACAUUAAGUUGUGUGCCAUUAAAACCUAAUAACUCCAUGGUAACAAUAUUAUCCAUUCCUUACAUCAUGUUUAAUCUUUUCUUGGUUAAUAAAUCUUCUCGGAGUUUAGUUUAUAGUUCCUUUGAAAUUGUAUUUGAUCUUGAUAUUGAUAAUAAGCGUCAACCAUUUUAUUUCUUCAUGAAAUUCACAAUUAUGAAAACUUCAAGUUGAUAACUUAUAUUUUCAAGACAGAGAAUACAACUUUUUUUUAACUGAGAUGAUAAAUGGUGAUAUAAAUGCUUAGGUUUCUGCUGGUCUAUCUGCAUCCCAUGUAAAUUUCUUUUGUAGUUUGCUCAUGUAUUGAAUGAAUUGAAUUGAUUGUAUCCUGUUUUAUCUAUCUCCGAGAGUAGGUAUCAAAUUCCACUUGCUUUUGAAGUGUACGAAACACAAGUAUAAACAGUUAAUUCAGCCUAGUAGAAUUUUUUAUUAAUGAUUAAAGAAUGCAUAGGAAAUAUUGAGAAUUGAUUAGAUAUUAUUGUUGGUUAUUGAAUUAGAAAUUUUAACAUUGAAAUAUUGAGAUUUAGCAUGUGGAAUUUGUAUCAUCAAUUAUUUGUGUAUUCUGCUUCCUUGUGUGAACUAAAGGCACCUACUCUAAUCCAUGAUUCAAACGUUACCAUCAAUUAUUAUUGGCGUUUUAAAUUCAUGUACGGCAAUACUUGAUUCUGCAAAACUGAAACAUAGCAUUAGAUCUUAUAUGCUGAUUUCUGCAAUGCAAGUCAUGCUUGUAGGGACAUGUAACUUUUCAUUUUACCUUCAUGAAGCUCACUGAUAUAUCCCCAUGGUUUACCCCCUAACCCUAAUUUUUUGAUUCAAUUUUACAGGAAAUUAUGUCCAAUGCAUCCACCUGCUGUGAAUUUACCUUCCAUGAAUCUGAUUUUGGUUAUGUACAAACCCAAGCAAGCCCGGACAAACUUCUGGGUGUAGUGAAUUAAAUGUGGUGUUUAUGUAGAUAGUAUAUUUGCUAGAAAAUUUGGGAUUUUAACGUCGCAUGUCAUGUUAUUUCACACCAACGAAUGUCACUAACACUAAUGUUUGUCAUUUAUCUUUAUAAUCGGAUGACAUUUCCCAACGCUUGAUAUGAAUAUAUGUAAGUCUUGAAUCCAAUAGUUUCAUUUGUUUCUUAAUUUGAGCCACACCGUACAUUAAAUUGCUUAGGACAAGAGAUAUCAUUUCUCAUUUUUGGAAUACUGAACAUUUGAGGCAAUUUGUCUUAUUACACACUAGUGAGAAAUGGAUAUUAAGCGAGGAAGAGGUCUUACUGUUAGCCAUUACAUGAAAAUGAAGUGCUUAGAAUAAAACAUCAUUUAUAAUUGAUAAUACUAUAGUUGCUAAGCUUCAGCCAGUUUUUGUUUCUUAUCAUCGAAUUCACUUUUAUGAAAAAUUUAACUUAAUCAUGUGUCCAGGCUAGCCUAAAUCCAAAGAGACUAUUACUGUUUAUAUCAUUUUCUUUUAACACCACUUUUUGUUGUGCUUUAUUUGGAAGCUGCUUUAUGUUUUUUCCUAUUGACUUCAUAAGUCAGCCUUUUUUCGGCUCACAGUAAAAAAUGCUGACCAUUUUCUUUAAAAUAGAUUGAAUUCAAGUUAGGCAUUAACACAUAUAAGUUUAAUAAAUAACCUUGAGUCGCAAUUUGUAUAUGUAAUUCAAAUCACCCCUUUCAAAUACGCGUUGGGAUGUGCUUGAAAUACACAAAUUGAGAUAAUUUUAAAGGUAAGAUUUUUAUUUGGAUUUAAAGAAAUUUGAGAUUUGGUGUUCUGAAAUUUUUAUUUUUAGAGAGAAAUUUGAAUGAACAUGGCUGAAAUCGUCUAAUGCAAUUACAAUACGUUUGUACACGUGAAUAAAGGUCAGGUCGUGAUUGAGGUAUGAUGUUGUUGAGGAGGCAAGCACAACAAUUUUGUGACCACGAUUGCUGAUGAGAGCCACAAUUUGAGAAACACCACUUUAAAACUUACAAGUUUGAAGUGUUUUUCUCAUUCCAUGUACAUAUGCUAUGGCUGUAAACAGGGCUGUAAAUGUAUGUUGAGUCAAAUUUGGUUCAGUUCGGUCCGAUAAUUUGAUCACAAGAAGAAAUUCCCAAUACAUGUCACCUCCAACUCAAUGGUCCAAUUUGACUUCUCAGCCUCAUCGGCCUGCACUCAUGGAUGUGGUCCUGUGGUGGCUGCACUUCACAGCCAUAACUAGGUUCGAAAAUCAUGUCGCUGUCAAUAAAUUUGAUGCAGGGUUCAGAAUUUAGUUUCGUGUCUCUCCCUCUCACUCUAAAUUUUGUAUAUCCUCGCAAACUAUGAUGAUGACAUUUGAGUGAAAACUUGUGCUUUUUAGUAAUUUUUCUUUUUUCAAAAAUUGUAAUCUCACUAUAAUGGUGUUACAUCCUUGCCAUUGUCCCCAACCAUUUUGUUUUUAACAUAAUGCACUUUAUCUUUGAAUAAUUUGUUUUUUGCUAAAGUAUAGGCACCUCAUGCUACUUAGUUGAAUGCAAGUUUUAUAUUUACCUUCAUUGGAUCAAGAUGUCAUUCAUAGUAUAUCCCUUCCCUUAAUUAUUUAUUCCUUUUGUAGGAAAUCAUGUCCACUUUAUCCACCCGCUUUGAAACUGGUCUUGGUUGUGGCAGAAAGCUAUGGUAAUCAGAGAAAGAUCGGACACACGUAUGUGUAUGGACAAUGGUUAAACUGACUGUUUCUAUGUAAUUUGGAAUCUUGUGGACAAGUGGCUUACGUUGCUAAUUUGAUUUUAGUGUUCAUAGACAUUUUUUGAGAAGAGGCUUACAAAUUUUAGUAAUAGUAAUUAUUUGUGACAAUUUGUUUUAGAAUUAAAACAAUUGAUAUCUAUCUACCAAAAAAAAAAAACAUUUGAUAUCCAUCAUUAUUGUUUCUAAAACAGUUUCACUCAACAAAAUUCUGUAAUUUGUAAGGUUUUUUUUUUUUUGAGGGUCGUCGCAGAAAAUCCGCUUAGAAUGCUGAUGUUUUAAGAUAACUCAAAAGUGGGUCAUUUGAAAAUUAGUCAUUUUUAUUAACCGUAUUUGAUCGUAAUAUGAACUUAGGUUGAUGCAUAUGGAUAAUUUAGCACGAUUGUAGAUUAGAGUUGUUAAAAUGAAAGUUGGCGCGAAUGUCUUUUUCAUGGGCAAAAGUUUUGCCAACAACCCAGAAACUAAAAAGCAUACUCACAAUGAUUAAAUCCACAAAAUCUGCAAGGAGAAUGAAGUGAAUCUGAAUAUGAAAGUUUGAAAUCUCUUCGCGUUUUCAAUGUAUCGUCCCUUUAAAAUCGCUUCUUCUCAUAAUCGAUUCCUCUUCACAACAACUGAACAAGAAUGAGAAAGUGAGAAAAGUUGAGGUCGAUUUGGGUAGUUGAGAACGAUUUAGAGUUGAGAUUGAUUAGGGUUCAUCAAUUUAGGGUUGAGAUCAAUUUAGGGUUCAUCAAUUUGGGAAUAUAUUCAUCGAUUAGGGUUCAUUUGGUUUCAUUUUCAUUUGGUUUCAAUUUGAGAACUGCUAUGAAAAAUAAGAGGUAUUAUGGUUAUGGUUCGGUUCGGUUCGGUUUGGAUAACUGUGGUUAUUAAUGGUUCGGUUCGGUUAAUUAACUGCUAUCAAAAUAAUGGUUCAGUUCAUAAACUUGUGAAAUGGUUCAGUUAAUUUUGAUAUGGUUCGGUUCAGUUACUGGUUAAUUUUGCCCACCCCUGCAAAUAAGCAUAAGAAAUGCUCACAAUAGGCACAAUUUAAUACACAAACUUGCAGCAACAAACAGAUCACACCAAUAUACUUGAUUGUAUCACAGAAUACAGAUGCACAAUCAUCAUAUUGUCACAUUCAUCAUUCUGUUAAAAAGUACGAGUAUAUGAUAUACAACAAUGCUUUAUCUUACCAAGACUCUUCACAUGAAACGCCCAAAGUGUGACUUCAAGCGCAGUUAGAUGCCUCUGUAAAUAUAUAAAAUUGAAAUGAUCAAAAGUAUUUCAAUCACCUUCUCAAAAUUACCUCUAAAUUAGAAAAAAAAAAUCCUCCCUAGUAACCGUAAUCUUUGACGACUCCUCAUCACUUGUACAAAUUGCUAUCGGCAUCACCUUCGCCUCCACUCACAUUACUUUUGUUGAUUAUAUUACUGGUAAUACCUUUGGAGUUUGUUGUUGCCAGUAUCAUCUCACCUUUCUAAUAGUCGUUGCAACCAUCACAAACACUUCUUCUACAACCUAGUACAAUACAUGGAUGACCUCGUCAUGCAUUUUAAAGUAGCACCGCAUUACAAGAUAACCGUGUCUUUGCAAAUGCAAUGUUAGAAAAAGAAAAUAAAAACUAAAAGUAAGUAGCAAUCAAAACCAAUGGUCUCUUUUGUGGCAUACACUGGUUUCCCUUGUUCACAGUAUGAGUGGAUGGUGGAACCAUAUUUUCUACAUGCCCAAACCACAUAGGUCUAGUUUCUAACAUAUUUUCUACUAUAUGUGUUACUCAAACUCUCUCUAAUAUCGUCAUUUUUUAAAUUUAUUUUUCAUCGUAAUAGAAACCAACGAUGAUCUUCAUUCAAAACAAUGGACUGAACUUUUGGCUUAUAAUAAAGAGGAAUUGUGUGUUCAUUAGGGUCCGGUGUAUGUGAAUUGGGAUUCUUCUUUCCUUCCCUUUUGCAGAAUGUCGAAGGGAUCCGAUACCUGUUUGUUCGGCGUCAUCCGACCUGCCCCGGAUAGCUGCGAUGAAAGAGGGAAACGGCAACUUAAAUAUGUAUGGGAAUCGAAACGCGUUAAAGAUCUUGAGAUUAGUGACUGCUUUGUGCAUGACGAUGACAUUAAGCCUCUUAUAUUUAAAUGUGAUCGCUUCGAGUAUAGGAAUAAGGCACAGAUUCAAAAAGAUAAGGAGAUUAAAGUCGCCAUGGCUGAGUACAAACAGCUCCGUCGCGGCCUAAGUGUACGUAUCUGUAUCUAUCUAUCUAUCUAUCUAUCUAUCUAUCUAUCUAUCUCAUUUUGCUUUCGGUUUUUCGUUUGGCUUUCAAUUUCAUGUUUCACUUGUGAUACAAUAAUAAUAAUAAUAAUCUUUUAAUUGAUUUUGUUACUGGACAGAAUUUUGAUGCUAUUGCCCCUCCGAGAAUUGCAGGAUUAGUUGGUUGUAUAGUACCCAUUCCCAUCAAUGAUGAUCUUCGCCUUCAACUCACUCCCCUUUGGGAGGCUGCGUUGGUGAAAUGCAAUACUGAGAAUCAGGCAAGUUCAAUGAUGAUUAUAGCAUAUUUACUCAUUCAUUGAUCAAAUAAUUAAGUAUUCUUCUUAAUUAUUAGGGUGCAAAAUUUGUGUUAGCUGACAUUGUGAAGACAACCUGGAGACCUGGUGGUAUGUAUUAUAUUACCUUUCAAGCAAAAGAACAAGAUCCUCCCAACCGCCGUCCUGUUACAACUUUCCAGGCACAGUUCUGGAAAAGGAGGCCUGAGCCUGAGGUCAUAUCACGUGCCAUCAAAACCUAACACACGCACUAUGGUAACAUAAUAAUGCUGCAUUAAUCUUAUGCAUGCUUUCAAUAUGCUUGGAGAUUAGUUUACAGUUCCUUUAAAAUUAAUUAUAUUUGAUUUUGGUAUUUAUAAUAAGCUUCAGCCAUUUUACAAUUAUGUCAAAUAGAAGUUUCCAAGCCUAAAUCCAAAGAUAAGAUAUUGUGGUCAAGUAGCCUAGUGGCUAGAGCUCACACAAUUUAAUUGUGGAGAAGUGGAGUGUCCGGGGUUCGAACCCCGGCCCCUGCAUAUAAAAUGCGAUAUCCCUACCAACUGAGCUAAGCUCACGGGGAUCAAAGAUAAGAUAUUAGAGUAGAGUAUGUUUAUAAAAACAUCAUUUGGAAAUUGUGGAUCAGUUGUAUUAUCAUUUUCUAACACACUGCUUUUUGCUGCACUUCAUUUGGAAAUUGUGGUUUUUCCUGCUGACUUCACUAGAGUUAGCCUUUUGGAAAUACAACACUGAUUUUUUUUUUUGUUUUAGAUACAAUUGAUAUGCUGUCAUUGUAACUGAAAGACAUUCUUCUACUGAACUUAUUUUGGUAUUUUAUUUAUAUGUCUAUAUCACUCUGUUUUUCAUCUCUUGUCAAUAUAUUUUUUUUCUUACACAGUCCCUCGUCUGGGUAAGCACUGAGCAGUACUAGUAUCUGAUUGUCUGGCAUAUUCGAAUGUCUUUCAAUCGAGAGAAAAUUCGUACUUUUGGUCAUUUUACUUUGUUGAAAUUGUAACCUCACUUUUCUGGUAUUACAUCCUUGGCUUGCAAGUAUUGUCCCAUGUAUUUUGUUAAUAUAACACCUUUAUCUUUGAAUUAUUUGUUGUUGUUUAAAGUAUAUAUGCAACCAUUGUGCUUGGAUGUUCCACAUCUUUCUUUUGGUAUGAAAGAAUGUCUUUUUUGUAUGAUAAGGUUGUAACACCCCUACUAAAAUUUUCCUAGGAUAUCUAGCAUGUGUGUUAAACUUGGCAUUGGAUACAUUAAAAUUACAAUACUAAAAAUUUCCUCUGAAUAAGAUAUAAAAAAUUCUCCUUAUAUACCUCUGCAAUAACACCACUGAUGUGAACUUUGUAUGGUCCAGCGACUUCAGCUUCUUCAUCACGAACCAUUAUGACGUUUUGUAACCUGAAUAUCUGAAAUAAAUAAAAGGGAUUGGGGUGAGACAAGAUGUCUCGGUGAGUUCCACCUAUCCUAGGUUGUAGGCAAUCUCAGGAAACCUAGGAUCGCCAUCCGUUCUAAACUAGUUGAUAAAUGUAAAAUUAUAUAACAAGACAUUCUUAAUUAUAAUAAAAGUAUUAAACUAUAUUCAUAAUAUAUAUUAUUAAAUUAUCAUUUUUUUCUCUCAAAAAACAUUACUUUUUGUAGAAAUUUUAUUUUAAAUUAAUUCCAUUUCAAUUUUUAUAAUUUACAAAAAAAAUUCAAGUAUAAAAUUUUAUUUUAAAAUAAAAAUUGUUACAAUAUAAAACAACAACAAAAAUAUACAUUAGAACUGGACACUUGUAACAAAAAAACUGGAAACAUCUCGUGAAAAAAAUUAUAUAUAUAUGGAACAAAAAAAAUGUAUGCCACUUACGUAUAUACGUAAGAACUUGUAACGUCUCGUGAAGAUAGAGGCAAAGCAGUAAUAAAGGUGUUUUAAUAUUUAAAGGUUAAAGUUGGUUUUAAUUAAAAUGAUAAGGGUUAAAAUGGAAGAAAAAAUGAGAAGCUAUAAGCUCAAACGCUACUUGGAAUAGUGUCUGAAAAAUAGCUUAUAAGCUCGUGAAAUAAGCUAUAAGCUCGUGGUGGAAAAUCUUUAACAAAUAGAGCUUUUUUUGUCAAACAAGCUUAUAAGCUAUCAGCUAUAAGCUAUAAGCUAACUUUUUAGUCUUACCAAACAGAGUUUUGUUGCUAAUUUGUCUUAGAUUUCCCCACACUUUGCAUUUUGCUACAAUCGGUUUGGCCUGUUGUUUGGUCACCUUAACCAUGUUGGUAAUUUUCACAGUGCUUAAAAUAAUUUUAGAAUUGCUAAAGUAUCAUUCGUAUUGUUCACCACCUAAACCAUCUACUAUGGUGUUGCGUAUUAAAGUUACAGUGCCCAUCUCAUGACGAUAAAUAAUCCUAAACUUAAAGAGCAUAGAUUUAUUCUUUUAAAUUAUUGCAUACCUUUUAUGACAUGCAUUAUUUAUUUGUCUUCUGUUCAUUACGGGGUCUGUUGAGGAUGCUCACAAAGUGUUUAUAAGCCCUGGGGAAAUUAAUUGGUUUGUUGUUUGUAGUUAAAUCUGACAUAUAGCUGGAAAGUAAACCGUGUCAUAUAAGUAUGCUCUGUUUGCUGAAUAUUCAUUCUUGCCAUGAUUAAUUUGUUUAAUAUACUAAUGUUCCUUCUUCGUUAAAUUUUCUUUACUAUUGAGUUCUGGCUUUUCAUUUUUCUUUAUGCUUUUUUGUCAAUACUUAUUCAGAUAUAUCUCCGUGGGUGUAUUCCUUAUACUUUAUUCUAUUCACCUAAUACUUCUUCUAUAUCUUGAUUCCUGCAGGUUUAUGUACGGUUUUAAUAUAGAGUCAAUAGUAGAUGCGGAUGAUGACCGUUUUAAUUAUUUUGUUAAGAAGGUAUGUAUUCUGGAAUUGUGAUUUUAAAAAAAUUGUGUCGAGUUCAGGUAAUUUUAGUUGUAAUUUGCAGUCAUUGCUAGUCUUUGUCUAGUAAUUUGGUAAAGUCUGAAGCAAAUGGACAUAUUUUUGUAAUUAUGUGCGUGUUAGUUAAAAUUUAUGACACCAAAUCGUAAUGAGAUACUAUGUGAAUCCUUCUUGCAGGUUUUUCCUAGAAUAAAAGACUCGUAUCAGGUUAACUUUUUAAUAAACUUCAUUUUUUUUCGAACAUGGAUGUUUGUUAUAAUUUAAAUUUAUAUGCAGAUGUAAAUGAUUUUUUAAUGAAAUCUUUGACGCAGGGAGGAAUCAUGAUAUUUGCCAGUUCUUACUUUGAAUUUAUUCGAAUCCGAAUUUUUUUGAAGUCCCAGAAUGCCUCCUUCUGUCUGCUUGGGGAGUAAGGAACCAUUUCCUUUAUUUUGCCAUUACAGCUCUAAUCUAUGUAGCUCUCGUGUUCCAUUGUAAUUUAUGUGUGGAUCUUUUUAAUCUAGGUAUACGACCGAAUAGGACAUUUCUCGUGCACGUGGUUGGUUCUUUGGAGGGAAAGAAAAAUUAUGCUUUACACAGAGAGAUCUCAUUUUUACCACAGAUUUACGGUUGUGUGCAGUGAAAUAGUUUUUUUUUCCUCCCUCCCUUUCUUUCCUAUAGUUAAUUUCUUUUGUAUUUAAUAGUGGUAUGUUAUGGUAGUUUUGAAAUUAUUCUUAUGAUCUUACUUUCCUCUUACUCAACAGUUAUAUUGAUGCAAAAUUGACAAAUUUAGUUUAUUUCUUCAUGGCAGAUUCGCGGGGUUAAGAAUUUAAUCAUGUAUUCACUCCCAGAGAGGAAGGAACUUUACCCUGAGGUAAGCAGGCUUGUAAAUGAAGUAGUAAUUUCUCUUCUCUCGCAAUAAUUCAUUAAGGAAAGAGUGUAAGACAGAUGUAGUAGGAAUACUCUUAGGCUAACAAUAAAAUCAGCGGGAAAAAAUAAAAUUGUCUCAAAAGAGUAAUCAUGUUCUUUUGCAUUUCUAGUCAUGAAAAAUCCAACAACAAAAAAGGGUGUGCAAAGACUCAAGUGGGAGAUAAGAAGACAAGCCUGCCAAACAAAAGGUUUAGAGGAAGAAUCUCAUGCUCGAAAAAGUUUUUGAAUUAUUUCCAGCCAAAUUCAUAGGUUUUUUGUAUGAAAAAAUUAUUUUCUAUCACCUAUAAUUAUAAUAACUAAAAUUAUUUACCAAAAACGUCAACGCAAUAAAAUUUGAUUUUUCUGAAUUCUUAUUACUCGUAAUAGAGAAUUUUGAUUAUUUUUUACAAUAAAAUGUAAAAAAAAAAAUAGUAUGAUUUUUAUAAAAAAUGAAACUAUAUUUUUUCUUAUAAAAUGAUAUUUUUUAAAAUAUAUAUGUCAACAAACACCUAUUUUCUUCAUAAAAAUUAUAAGCGAGAGUACCGGUACACCGUAAUUUGCGGAUGUACCGUAGAAGUUCCCAAUUCCCUAUAUAUCAAGGUUUAGGAUUCAAACCAAGAGAGAGAAAAAGAUGGACUAAAGAAACCGCUAAGUACACACCCUCAGGUCACAAAUAUAAAUAAAAAUUUAUUUUUUAGAUACAUUCAAUUAACGAUGUAUAUGACAUAUAAUAAAGACGGCAUAUAUCAUUAAUUAAAAAUAUUUAAAAAAUGGAUUUUUGUUUAUAUUUGUGAUCGGAUGGUGUACUUGCUUAAUAAAAAAGAGAAGAGAAUUGCGUUAUUUGUAAUUUCCUCCUUCUUCGUUCCUUGUAGCAGAAAAUGUCGACGGAAUUCAAUACGGUUUCGCACGGCGUCACCCAACCUUCUCUGAAAAAUUGCGAUGAAAAAGGGAAUCAACCGGUAGGAUUGCAACCGAAACGGAGAGAGAAAUAUGAAUGGGAAUUGAAACGCUUUGAAGAUCUUGAGAUUAGUGACUUCUCUAUGUAUGACGAUGACAUUAAGCCUUUUAUGUUUAUGUG
Molecule: long non-coding RNA, 19870 nt
Filed under: Medicago truncatula (barrel medic)
Lineage: Eukaryota; Viridiplantae; Streptophyta; Magnoliopsida; Fabales; Fabaceae
Description: long non-coding RNA (MTRU_LNC000966)
Rfam family: MIR5271 microRNA precursor family (bases 13384-13461)
Source: RNAcentral